CUUUUCUUUUAUUUAGUCUAAUCAUGCAAAAUCAGAGUGUACACGUACUAUCAGAUGGUGAGCUAUAGCGGUUUGCAUGACGUCGCUUGACUGACCGACGAAGUGGGGGUGGCCCAAAAAAUUUGUAGACCAAUUGCGGAGGGCUGGUUGCAGAAUUGGAAUAGAAAAGUUUGGAAUAGCUUUAGGUUAUAGCGCCCUAGAUAGCACAGCGGUACAAAACACCGAGACUAUGGCAAUCUAGCACACACCACGCAUUUGUCAACGUACUAAACCCACAGAGCAACACCUGUGAGCGUACACAACAAUAUCAAAGCCGCUACUGUGGCCCGAGAAGAUGGCCGCUACAGCGAAAAAAAAAAAAGAAGAGAGAAGAUACACGUGACUUUCCUACACUUUUGUUCUAGCGCGCGGAGAGGAUAAGGGCUCUACUCACUUUUUUCCUUCCUCCAUGCCUGCCAUCGAUAGUGGGCUUGUGCUAUUUUUAGAUGUAAUAAUCAUUAUUUUCAUAAAGAGGCAGGUGUUCACGCCUUACCGUUAUGUUUCCAUUGUGAACCAUGACCAAUCAACCCCUCGUGGGUAUGUGCCAAAAGCGGAAGGAAGACGAAGAUACCGUGUUGUGGUCGGCUGGCGGCCAGCAUGUUGAAUGCCUUGAAUCCGGUGCCUAGACCACUGUCUACUCCACUAAGCUAGCCAGGCAGCGUUCGAAGCCGACCCCAGACGACGAAGCCCUUGCUGUGGCCAACUGGAGCGUGCAGUGGCUCGUGGUCGGCGUACCUACCUGAGCUAAGCGCCAUGUCACUCCUGCUAGUUCUCGGCAUGAUCUUUGGAGCCUGGCUGUUCAUCCAUGCGCCACAGUGGCUACUUCUCUUCGUGGGAUUCGGACCGACCGGAGUGAAGCCGAGAAGCAUGGCAUCCAAGUGGCAGUCACUCCUGCGCGGCCGCAUCAGGAAAAACGGCUACUUCUCUCGACUGCAACACUGGGCAAUGACUGGCCUACCUAUCUGGCUGAAGAUAUCCCUUGGUUACAUUGGAGCCCGGUGGACCCUAUGGAUGGCAACAUAGGACUGCGCCAUACUCUUUACAAGUCACCUGAGCAUACAGCUGGAGCGUCGAAAAAUGCUAAAUGUCGCAGCAGUGGAUGGCAUAGGGACCGCGAAGUUUUUAAAGGCAAUACAAAUUUAACGUCUGUAGAAAUACGCGAUAACCGAAGUAAGAAACGGUGUUUGUUAGCAAUUUAGUUUGAGAUGACAGAUAAAUACAAGACGAGUCGUAGCCAGAGGGCUGGUAGUCUAAACAAUGAGCGGAUGAUUUGGCAAAGCAUGAGUAAUGUCCAAGUACAGUCGGCAUCUACGCAUAAAAUUUAUUGCCCUUGUGA
Molecule: long non-coding RNA, 1375 nt
Organism: Dermacentor andersoni
Lineage: Eukaryota; Metazoa; Arthropoda; Arachnida; Ixodida; Ixodidae
Source: RefSeq, a predicted model, not a curated record